This 374-nucleotide ribosomal RNA is filed under the name uncultured eukaryote. Its description in RNAcentral is "partial 18S ribosomal RNA". It matches the Rfam family "Eukaryotic small subunit ribosomal RNA", at positions 592 to 975 of the family's 1831-position model. The record is from RNAcentral.
UAAUAGUGUAUAUUAAAGUUGUUGCAGUUAAAAAGCUCGUAGUUGAAUGUUGGUGUCGAACGAGCGGUCAGCUUCGGCUGUACUGCUCUCUCGACUCCUUCCUUCUGUGGACUACGUCGCACUUUACUGUGUGGCGCUAGGACGCAGAUCGUUUACUGUGAAAAAAUUAGAGUGUUCAAAGCAGGCUUCUGCCGUUGAAUAUAUUAGCAUGGAAUAAUGAGAUAGGACCCUGGUGCUAUUUUGUUGGUUUGCGUUCCGGGGUAAUGAUUAAUAGGAACAGUUGGGGGUAUUCGUAUUCCAUUGUCAGAGGUGAAAUUCUUGGAUUUCUGGAAGACGAACUACUGCGAAAGCAUUUACCAAGGAUGUUUUCAUUA